AUGGAUCACGGUAUUGUUAACCUCAAAGCAAAACACGAGCAUGCAAUAUUCAUUUGCAGAAGCAGGAAAACGAGUGGGGAGAUGCAAUUCGGGCUGUGGACAGGAGAGGGGGCCCUGCGUAGAGCAGGAGGGAAAAGCUAUCGGCUAUGGAGACGGAGAGCAGCCAGAGGUCGGCAAAGCCCAGGGACAGCCUCAGCCCUGGUGGAUCAAGCCCCAUCAUCAGGCUUCAUCAACAUGGAGUUAUACCAGCACGAGUGGAAUGUGAGAGAGGAGGAGCUGAUUGGAAGAAUGAAGAAUGGAAGGAUUUUUUUUUUUUUUUAA
This is a long non-coding RNA of Anser brachyrhynchus (Pink-footed goose), 321 nucleotides long. The record is from Ensembl. Lineage: Eukaryota; Metazoa; Chordata; Aves; Anseriformes; Anatidae.